Molecule: long non-coding RNA, 431 nt
Organism: Rhipicephalus sanguineus (brown dog tick)
Lineage: Eukaryota; Metazoa; Arthropoda; Arachnida; Ixodida; Ixodidae
Exons: 3
Source: RefSeq, a predicted model, not a curated record
CCAUUUUAAUAUUCAAAACCACGUCAUUGAAGAAUGAAAACAUCACACGCUUUUGUAAUACGAGCGCCGGAAUAUGCGCAUCAGUACGUUGCGCUGUUACCGCGGCACUACGGACAGAGUAAUCACUAUUGCAAUGCUGGCUGUGAAGACUGCACUCGUUCUAACGCUCGCACUGACAGCCAUGGUAGAGGAUAUCUCAACUGCGGGAGGUCCGAGAAUCCCAAGGUGUGCGUACAUGCCUUGCCGUGGACGAAGGGACCAGCUAUCCUGCUGGCCUAGUUGCCGAUGUGUCCGGACAUCCCCGGUCGGCAUAUACACCUGCGUCCUACGUUAGCUUGAUCUGUGGGUAACUACAAGCUACCUUAUCGAGAUCCCAACUUUAUGGGUAGGAAAGCUAAAACAAUAAAUAUCACUACGACUCUUCAGAUAAA